RNAcentral lists this ribosomal RNA (731 nucleotides) under uncultured archaeon. Its description in RNAcentral is "bacterial SSU rRNA". It matches the Rfam family "Archaeal small subunit ribosomal RNA", at positions 21 to 761 of the family's 1478-position model. The record is from RNAcentral.
CCCGACUGCUAUCAGAAUAGGACUAAGCCAUGCGAGUCAACGUAGCAAUACGUGGCAUACGGCUCAGUAACACGUAGUCAACAUGCCCAGGGGACGUGGAUAACCUCGGGAAACUGAGGAUAAACCGCGAUAGGUCAUAAUAUCUGGAAUGAUUUCUGGCUGAAAUCUAUAUGGCCCCUGGAUUGGACUGCGGCCGAUCAGGCUGUUGGUGAGGUAAUGGCCCACCAAACCUAAAACCGGUACGGGCUCUGAGAGGAGAAGCCCGGAGAUGGGCACUGAGACAAGGGCCCAGGCCCUAUGGGGCGCAGCAGGCGCGAAAACUCUGCAAUAAGCGAAAGCUUGACAGGGUUAUUCUGAGUGAUUUCCGCUAAGGAAAUCUUUUGGCACCUCUAAAAAUGGUGCAGAAUAAGGGGUGGGCAAGCCUGGUGUCAGCCGCCGCGGUAAUACCAGCACCCCGAGUGGUCGGGACGAUUAUUGGGCCUAAAGCAUCCGUAGCCGGUUCUACAAGUCUUCCGUUAAAUCCACCUGCUUAACAGAUGGGCUGCGGAGGAUACUAUGGAGCUAGGAGGCGGGAGAGGCAAGCGGUACUUAGUGGGUAGGGGUAAAAUCCGUUGAUCCAUUGAAGGCCACCAGUGGCGAAGGCGGCUUGCCAGAACGCACUCGACGGUGAGGGAUGAAAGCUGGGGGAGCAAACCGGAUUAGAUACCCGGGUAGUCCCAGCUGUAAACGAU